RNAcentral lists this small RNA (125 nucleotides) under Marmota monax (woodchuck). The record is from RNAcentral. Lineage: Eukaryota; Metazoa; Chordata; Mammalia; Rodentia; Sciuridae.
GCUGGGCAUGGUGGCUCAUGCCUGUAAUCCCAGCAGCUCAGGAGGUGGAUGCAGGAUGAUUGUGAGUUCAAAGCCAGCCUCAGCAAUGGCAAGGUGCUAAGCAAUUCAGUGAGACCCUGUCUCUG